UUAGGAUCUGAGUCUUGAUUUUUUUUAUAUGAAAUUGUUAAUGGGGGUGAGCUACACUAGCCCAAUAAGAAUAUUACCCUACUCAUCGAUACGAAAACUGAAAAUUUGGUAAAAAAACAUAAAACGACUAAUAAAGCUCUUAAUUUAAGUAAAUUCAUUUAUUCCAAAGAAAACCAUUUAUUACAUACUUACCGCUAUGGGAUUUUCAAAAUUAAUCUAUAGAGACAAUAACUCAAAUAACAUUAUGAUUUCUUAUACAAGUGAGUAAGAACAACAAUUUUUUCUCUUUUUAUCUGUUUACUGGUACCUCUGUAGGUCCAUAGGGAUGUCCCCCUACACGUGAACCUAAUAUCUAAACUUGUCAAUUAUUCGGUCGUCCUCAUAUCUCAUCCUAUAUGAGCACCAAAAAUGUCAUCCCUCGAUACACCGUCUGCUAUGAGGGUGAACCGGACCGUCCUCAUAACCUGUCCGAUAUGAGCGCCAAAAU
Molecule: long non-coding RNA, 487 nt
Filed under: Carica papaya (papaya)
Lineage: Eukaryota; Viridiplantae; Streptophyta; Magnoliopsida; Brassicales; Caricaceae
Description: long non-coding RNA (CPAP_LNC001375)
Source: RNAcentral